This 595-nucleotide ribosomal RNA is filed under the name uncultured Bacteroidota bacterium. Its description in RNAcentral is "bacterial SSU rRNA". It matches the Rfam family "Bacterial small subunit ribosomal RNA", at positions 122 to 715 of the family's 1533-position model. Lineage: Bacteria; Pseudomonadati; Bacteroidota. The record is from RNAcentral.
CAACCUGCCCACCACUUGGGGAUAACCUUGCGAAAGUAAGACUAAUACCCAAUGACGUCUCUAGAAGACAUCUGAAGGAGAUUAAAGAUUUAUCGGUGAUGGAUGGGGAUGCGUCUGAUUAGCUUGUUGGCGGGGUAACGGCCCACCAAGGCAACGAUCAGUAGGGGUUCUGAGAGGAAGGUCCCCCACAUUGGAACUGAGACACGGUCCAAACUCCUACGGGAGGCAGCAGUGAGGAAUAUUGGUCAAUGGACGAGAGUCUGAACCAGCCAAGUAGCGUGCAGGAUGACGGCCCUAUGGGUUGUAAACUGCUUUUAUAAGGGAAUAAAGUGAGUCUCGUGAGACUUUUUGCAUGUACCUUAUGAAUAAGGACCGGCUAAUUCCGUGCCAGCAGCCGCGGUAAUACGGAAGGUUCGGGCGUUAUCCGGAUUUAUUGGGUUUAAAGGGAGCGUAGGCCGGAGAUUAAGCGUGUUGUGAAAUGUAGACGCUCAACGUCUGCACUGCAGCGCGAACUGGUUUCCUUGAGUACGCACAAAGUGGGCGGAAUUCGUGGUGUAGCGGUGAAAUGCUUAGAUAUCACGAAGAACUCCGAUUG